This 497-nucleotide ribosomal RNA is filed under the name uncultured bacterium. RNAcentral's name for it is "partial 16S ribosomal RNA". It matches the Rfam family "Bacterial small subunit ribosomal RNA", at positions 28 to 507 of the family's 1533-position model. The record is from RNAcentral.
GAUGAACGCUGGCGGCGUGCCUAAUACAUGCAAGUCGGGCGAACGGACGAGAAGCUUGCUUCUCUGAUGUUAGCGGCGGACGGGUGAGUAACACGUGGAUAACCUACCUAUAAGACUGGGAUAACUUCGGGAAACCGGAGCUAAUACCGGAUGAUAUUUUGAACCGCAUAGUUCAAAAGUGAAAGACGGUCUUGCUGUCACUUAUAGAUGGAUCCGCGCUGCAUUAGCUAGUUGGUAAGGUAACGGCUUACCAAGGCAACGAUGCAUAGCCGACCUGAGAGGGUGAUCGGCCACACUGGAACUGAGACACGGUCCAGACUCCUACGGGAGGCAGCAGUAGGGAAUCUUCCGCAAUGGGCGAAAGCCUGACGGAGCAACGCCGCGUGAGUGAUGAAGGUCUUCGGAUCGUAAAACUCUGUUAUUAGGGAAGAACAUAUGUGUAAGUAACUGUGCACAUCUUGACGGUACCUAAUCAGAAAGCCACGGCUAACUACGUG